Molecule: non-coding RNA, 149 nt
Organism: Paramuricea clavata
Lineage: Eukaryota; Metazoa; Cnidaria; Anthozoa; Malacalcyonacea; Plexauridae
Source: the annotation of a GenBank genome assembly
UAUCAGACUUGUUACAAGGUUGUUCUAACAAGUCUAAUACAAUCAUGAUAAACAAGAAUGCUACAAGGUUGACAACACAAGGUUGUAACAAUACUGCUAUAUCAUGACUGUAUCAGACUUGUUGGAACAACCUUGUAACAAGCCUGAUA